GGGGAAUUUUGGACAAUGGGCGCAAGCCUGAUCCAGCAAUGCCGCGUGCAGGAUGAAGGCCUUCGGGUUGUAAACUGCUUUUGUACGGAACGAAAAAGCUCUCUCUAAUACAGGGGGUGAAUGACGGUACCGUAAGAAUAAGCACCGGCUAACUACGUGCCAGCAGCCGCGGUAAUACGUAGGGUGCAAGCGUUAAUCGGAAUUACUGGGCGUGAAGCGUGCGCAGGCGGUUUUGAAAGACAGAUGUGAAAUCCCCGGGCUUAACCUGGGAACUGCGUUUGUGACUGCAAGGCUGGAGUACGGCAGAGGGUGGUGGAAUUCCACGUGUAGCAGUGAAAUGCGUAGAGAUGUGGAGGAACACCGAUGGCGAAGGCAGCCCCCUGGGCCUGUACUGACGCUCAUGCACGAAAGCGUGGGGAGCAAACA
This 426-nucleotide ribosomal RNA is filed under the name uncultured bacterium. RNAcentral describes it as "bacterial SSU rRNA". It matches the Rfam family "Bacterial small subunit ribosomal RNA", at positions 356 to 774 of the family's 1533-position model. The record is from RNAcentral.